This 31-nucleotide non-coding RNA is filed under the name Mus musculus (house mouse). The record is from RNAcentral. Lineage: Eukaryota; Metazoa; Chordata; Mammalia; Rodentia; Muridae.
UGAAAAGCCUCUGAAUACAAUGUGGUAGUGU